RNAcentral lists this transfer RNA (76 nucleotides) under Candidatus Liptonbacteria bacterium RIFCSPLOWO2_01_FULL_45_15. RNAcentral's name for it is "tRNA-Thr". It matches the Rfam family "tRNA". Rfam says of the family: Transfer RNA (tRNA) molecules are approximately 80 nucleotides in length. The record is from RNAcentral. Lineage: Bacteria; Candidatus Liptoniibacteriota.
GCCGCCUUAGCUCAGCUGGUAGAGCGCCACUUUUGUAAAGUGGAUGUCGUCAGUUCGAAUCUGACAGGCGGCUCAA